AUGCUCUGUUCUUUCUUGCUUUCAGAAUCUCCGUUCAACAGCAAGGUCAUGGCAGAAACCAUUGAUCUAACAGGGGAUGGAGGCGUUCUUAAGACGGUGAUCAGAAAAGCAAAGGAUGAUGCUAUAAGCCCAUCCGAUAGCCUUCCAUUGGUUGAUGUUCAUUAUGAAGGGACACUUGCUGAAAAUGGCGAAGUUUUUGACACCACACAUGAAGACAAUUCUAUUUUUUCAUUUGAAGUUGGCCAGGGAGCUGUCAUUAAAGCAUGGGAUAUAGCCUUAAGAACUAUGAAAGUUGGCGAGAUUGCAAAAAUAACAUGCAGGCCGGAAUAUGCGUAUGGAAGUCCAGGCUCGCCGCCAGAGAUACCAGCGAAUGCAACACUCAUUUUUGAGGUGGAAUUAGUUGCUUGCAAGCCAAGGAAAGGUUCAAGUCUGGGCAGUGUAUCUGAUGAGAAAGCCAGGCUAGAGGAGCUUAAGAAACAGCGGGAGCUGGCUGCUGCCACCAAAGAGGAAGAGAAGAAGAAGAGGGAGGAGGCAAAGGCCGCGGCAGCGGCUCGUGUGCAAGCCAAACUUGACGCCAAGAAGGGCAAGGGAAAAGGAAAGGGCAAAUAG
This 609-nucleotide ribosomal RNA is filed under the name Triticum aestivum (bread wheat). Its description in RNAcentral is "partial small subunit ribosomal RNA". Lineage: Eukaryota; Viridiplantae; Streptophyta; Magnoliopsida; Poales; Poaceae. The record is from RNAcentral.